This 586-nucleotide ribosomal RNA is filed under the name uncultured bacterium. RNAcentral's name for it is "bacterial SSU rRNA". It matches the Rfam family "Bacterial small subunit ribosomal RNA", at positions 338 to 916 of the family's 1533-position model. The record is from RNAcentral.
CCUACGGGAGGCAGCAGUAGGGAAUCUUCCGCAAUGGACGCAAGUCUGACGGAGCAACGCCGCGUGAGUGAAGAAGGAUUUCGGUUCGUAAAACUCUGUUGUUAGAGAAGAACAGCGCAUAGAGUAACUGUUAUGCGUGUGACGGUAUCUAACCAGAAAGCCACGGCUAACUACGUGCCAGCAGCCGCGGUAAUACGUAGGUGGCAAGCGUUGUCCGGAUUUAUUGGGCGUAAAGCGAGCGCAGGCGGUCAAUUAAGUCUGAUGUGAAAGCCCCCGGCUCAACCGGGGAGGGUCAUUGGAAACUGGUUGACUUGAGUGCAGAAGAGGAGAGUGGAAUUCCAUGUGUAGCGGUGAAAUGCGUAGAUAUAUGGAGGAACACCGGUGGCGAAAGCGGCUCUCUGGCUUGUAACUGACGCUGAGGCUCGAAAGCGUGGGGAGCAAACAGGAUUAGAUACCCUGGUAGUCCACGCCGUAAACGAUGAGUGCUAGGUGUUAGACCCUUUCCGGGGUUUAGUGCCGCAGCUAACGCAUUAAGCACUCGCCUGGGGAGUACGACCGCAAGGUUGAAACUCAAAGGAAUUGACGG